Molecule: ribosomal RNA, 254 nt
Filed under: uncultured bacterium
Lineage: Bacteria
Description: partial 16S ribosomal RNA
Rfam family: Bacterial small subunit ribosomal RNA
Source: RNAcentral
UACGGAAGAUCCAAGCGUUAUCCGGAAUUACUGGGCGUAAAGAGUUGCGUAGGUGGCAAAGUAAGUCAGUAGUGAAAUUGUGUGGCUCAACCAUACACCCAUUGCUGAAACUGCUUAGCUUGAGAAUGAGAGAGGUUAUUGGAAUUCCCAGUGUAGGAGUGAAAUCCGUAGAUAUUGGGAGGAACACCGAUGGCGUAGGCAGAUAACUGGCUCAUUUCUGACACUAAGGCACGAAAGCGUGGGGAGCAAACGGG